Molecule: long non-coding RNA, 640 nt
Organism: Myotis brandtii (Brandt's bat)
Lineage: Eukaryota; Metazoa; Chordata; Mammalia; Chiroptera; Vespertilionidae
Exons: 3
Source: RefSeq, a predicted model, not a curated record
CCACCACAGACACAGCCACAGCCUCCAUCUCAACCACGGCAACAAAAUGCCCAAGACCCUCUUACCCGGCUCAGUUCCAAGCACAAACUCCAGGAUUCCCAAAAGCCUGGCCCCCAGCUUGACUCCAUGGGGGCCCAUCGCUUUAAGGAUAAAGUCCAAGGAGGGCAGAAAAUCCCUCUAGACCCCGGUUUCAGGAAACCAGACCAGCCCUACCUCACUACACAUACCUCGAAGACACGCUUCACGUCAAUGGAUUACAUACAGCAGUGGUGAUCCCCUGACAGACCCCAAGGCCCAACUGGUCAUCAGUAAACAACAGAUGAGCAAAUCUACCUUCUCACCAUCCAGCAAUGUCUGCACUCCAAAGGCCAUGCCCUUCUGGUCCAUUCCAGAACAGGAGGCUAGCCCAGAAUAAAAUGACGUUUCCUGCAGACUUGAAACUGGUCAGCUCUGUGAGACUGAGGGGAAAGAGGCAGGAAGACCCAGGAGGGGGGGAACACCCAUGAGGGGAUGGAGAGGGUGAGAGAAGAAAGUGGAAAGCAAUUGCAUGCUUCGCUAGGCAAAGCCAGUGGGAGAACUGGCCUUAUACUCCCAAGUCUCCAACUCCAGCCUUUUCUUUAAGAAAAAAAAAAAAGUUUUU